Non-coding RNA from Gracilinanus agilis (Agile Gracile Mouse Opossum), 471 nucleotides. The record is from the annotation of a RefSeq genome assembly. Lineage: Eukaryota; Metazoa; Chordata; Mammalia; Didelphimorphia; Didelphidae.
AUGUUCUUGCCCAGGGCUCUAAGUCAGCAGUGGGCUCGUUAUGUGCAUGGCUGUAUAGCAGAGUGCUCCUGGGACACCCGAGCGAUGUAUUUUGGAAAUGGUACAGAGCUGUCAGUAGAGCCUGAAUUCCAAGAAACUUCUGCACCCUCAGUCUUUGUCAUGAAAAAUGGGACCAAUGUGGCAUGUCUGGUGAAGGACUUCUACCCCAAGACUGUGGAAAUACAGCUUCAGCCAGGAAACGACAUAUCAGAAGGAGUGGUUGCUACUGCCGAUGGGAAAUUCAGUGCUGUCAAGCUUGGCCAAUAUGAAAAAGAUUUGGAUCAAAUUAACUGCACCGUUCGGCACAGCAAUAUGGUUGUAGUGGCUUCUUACAAAGGGUCCUCUUCCAAUUCCAAGAUUUCAGACCUAGGGUCGCCACUUUCCGAAGAUUGCUACAAACCCACAGGUAAGUUCAAAUAAAGGGGCCAAAUA